GCCCGAGUGGCGGAAUGGCAGACGCGACGGACUCAAAAUCCGUUGUCCGAAAGGGCGUGUGGGUUCGAGUCCCACCUCGGGCA
Molecule: transfer RNA, 83 nt
Filed under: Actinomycetes bacterium
Lineage: Bacteria; Bacillati; Actinomycetota; Actinomycetes
Also listed under: 4 other names
Description: tRNA-Leu
Rfam family: tRNA
About the family: Transfer RNA (tRNA) molecules are approximately 80 nucleotides in length. Their secondary structure includes four short double-helical elements and three loops (D, anti-codon, and T loops).
Source: RNAcentral